AUACGGAGGGUGCAAGCGUUAUCCGGAAUCACUGGGUUUAAAGGGUGCGUAGGCGGCGUUAUAAGUCAGAAGUGAAAUCUCAUCGCUCAACGGUGAAACUGCUUUUGAUACUGUAAUGCUUGAAUUAGGUUGAGGUUAGCGGAAUGUGGCAUGUAGCGGUGAAAUGCUUAGAUAUGCCAUAGAACACCAAUUGCGAAGGCAGCUGGCUGGACCUAUAUUGACGCUGAGGCACGAAAGCGUGGGGAGCGAACAGGAUUAGAAACCCCAGUAGUCC
This 274-nucleotide ribosomal RNA is filed under the name uncultured bacterium. RNAcentral's name for it is "partial 16S ribosomal RNA". It matches the Rfam family "Bacterial small subunit ribosomal RNA", at positions 523 to 796 of the family's 1533-position model. The record is from RNAcentral.